AAUAAACUAAUCUUUCACUUUUUACCUACAAUGUUUUAAGUUUUCAUCUUAUUUAAAUUUUUUUAUGAUUAACAUUUUUGUUUUUAUUAGAUGAUAAAUUAUGAAUAGUACUUUAUGUGUGACUAUUUUUUUAAAAUUUUUUGAAUUUUUUUCAAAUAAGACGGAUGGUCAAACGCUAGACAUGAAAAUCGAAAGUUUGCCUUUUU
RNAcentral lists this microRNA precursor (206 nucleotides) under Oryza brachyantha (malo sina). RNAcentral describes it as "MIR812 microRNA precursor family". It matches the Rfam family "MIR812 microRNA precursor family". Lineage: Eukaryota; Viridiplantae; Streptophyta; Magnoliopsida; Poales; Poaceae. The record is from Rfam by way of RNAcentral.